This 408-nucleotide ribosomal RNA is filed under the name uncultured soil bacterium. RNAcentral describes it as "bacterial SSU rRNA". It matches the Rfam family "Bacterial small subunit ribosomal RNA", at positions 26 to 430 of the family's 1533-position model. The record is from RNAcentral.
AGAUUGAACGCUGGCGGCAGGCUUAACACAUGCAAGUCGAGCGGUAGCAGGUCCUUCGGGAUGCUGACGAGCGGCGGACGGGUGAGUAAUACAUAGGAAACUGCCCAGUAGUGGGGGAUAGCCCGGGGAAACCCGGAUUAAUACCGCAUACGCCCUUUGGGGGAAAGCAGGGGAUCUUCGGACCUUGCGCUAUUGGAUGUGCCUAUGUCGGAUUAGCUAGUUGGUGGGUAAAGCCUACCAAGGCGACGAUCCGUAGCUGGUCUGAGAGGAUGAUCAGCCACAUCGGGACUGAGACACGGCCCGAACUCCUACGGGAGGCAGCAGGUGGGGAAUAGUUGGACAAGUGGGGGACAACCCUGAAUCCAGCCAUGCCGCGUGUGUAGAAGAAGGUCGUUUCGGGUAGUAAAG